Molecule: unclassified non-coding RNA, 216 nt
Filed under: uncultured Amanita
Lineage: Eukaryota; Fungi; Basidiomycota; Agaricomycetes; Agaricales; Amanitaceae
Description: sequence contains ITS2
Source: RNAcentral
AAUUCUCAAAAUCCCCCAUCUCUCCAAUUUGUUGAGAAGGCAUUUUGGAUACUGGGAGUUGCAGGUUAUAUAAACCAGCUCUCCUCAAAUACAUUAGCAGGGAAAUAUGGCAGCUUCUGUAUUGGUGUGAUAAAAUCAUUUACACCAUGAAUAAGCCACGUAUAAUCCUGCUCUUGAGAACUUGUUACUGUCUUCGACAGUAAGUAGUAAUGACCA